RNAcentral lists this ribosomal RNA (511 nucleotides) under uncultured bacterium. RNAcentral describes it as "bacterial SSU rRNA". It matches the Rfam family "Bacterial small subunit ribosomal RNA", at positions 36 to 518 of the family's 1533-position model. The record is from RNAcentral.
CUGGCGGCGUGCCUAAUACAUGCAAGUCGAACGGUCUUUCUAUGGAAGCUUGCUUCCACUGAGAAGAUAGUGGCGAACGGGUGAGUAACACGUGGGUAACCCUGCCCAUAAGAGGGGGAUAACAUCCGGAAACGGGUGCUAAUACCGCAUAGUUUUCUUGAUCGCAUGAUCGGGAAAGGAAAGACGGCCUUUGUGCUGUCGCUUAUGGAUGGACCCGCGGCGUAUUAGUUAGUUGGUGAGGUAACGGCUCACCAAGACGAUGAUACGUAGCCGACCUGAGAGGGUGAUCGGCCACAUUGGGACUGAGACACGGCCCAAACUCCUACGGGAGGCAGCAGUAGGGAAUCUUCCGCAAUGGACGAAAGUCUGACGGAGCAACGCCGCGUGAGUGAAGAAAGGUUUUUCGGAUCGUAAAACUCUGUUGUCAGAGAAGAACAAGUUGGAGAGUAACUGCUCCAGCCUUGACGGUAUCUGACCAGAAAGCCACGGCUAACUACGUGCCAGCCGCCGC